AUAAUAAAAAAUAAAGGUUCGUUCAUUGGCGUCAAUGCUGUUGCUGAAUACUCACUCAUUUAGCAAAGAUACUUUGUGAUGCAAUAAACCGUAUUUUUUGAGAUUAACUAUGUUACGAAUCAAAUUCCGACAACAACCGACAUUUGAAUAGUCAAUGGUUGAAGAGUUUUCUAGGUGUGUUUUUACAUCGAAACUUGAAACUUAAGUUUGGUUUUAUUAUUAAAUAUAACACUUCUGUUGAAAUCAUUUAGGAAUGAAAUCUAAAAUUUAAAAUAGCCAUGACCAUGUCUCCUAUCCAUACAAUAUUAAUAUAGCUUAUUUUUGUUGUCAUCUAAUUCUAAAACCUUCACAGUAGCUCUUUUGUAACAUUUGCAUAUCUUGUUUGAAAAUCGAAAAAGUUGCCAUUAAUCUAAUCCUUCAUUUCAUUCUUUGCAUCGUUUUCGUUCUUGGCUACUUGAUCCAGCAGUAGUAUUGGUGUUGUUUUUAAAUUAAUUAAUUUAAAAAAUUUCAUUUAUGCACUAUCAAAACACUUGUUUUUAAGGGUAUAUUGGUCUUUUCAAACUCAAAAAGUUUUGCAUUUUAUAAUUGUGCGAAUUCAAAAUAAUUUGUCAUAUAGUAGCAUUUUUGCUACUCUAACCCAUUUGGCGCCAAAUUUAAAGACACAUCUACUGUAUAAAAAACAAAAAAAAAAAUUGUGUUGGAAUGUGUGAUUAGGGAUGGUAACGGGCACCGCCUGCAGCGGGUUUGCCAUUAUCAAAUCCAAACCCACACAAAAUUUAAAUUAUCAAACCUACCCGCAACCCUUAGUGGGUUUUAAUUUUUUUAAGAAAACCCACCCACAAUGUAUUUUAAUAAUUACCAAACCCGCAAUGGUAAGUGGAUUUUUUGCGGGUUAUCGCAUUUAAAAUCAUAAAUAUUUAAUAUAUAAAUUUAUAAUAAUAACCUCAAAUUUUAUAUAACAUACUCAAUUUUAUAUUUAACCAAUAUAAAUGAAAAAUUAAAAUUUCAACAUGAAGUCAACACAAAUUUCCAAAUAUAAGUAUAAAUCACACAAAUUUAUUUAAAAAAACACAAACUACUACCUAAAAAUAACAAUUACAUUUCAUAUUAUCAUUUAAAACAAGCUCCAAAAGAAUAUCUCUAUUUCAUUCACCACAAUAAGUACUCAUCCAACACGAUUCCUAAAAUAAUAAUUAAGAGUAAUAUUUUCAAAUACUAAUUCAGAGAAAAAAAAAUUAUAAUAAUGAAAUAAUUCAUGUAUUAAGGUAAAGAAAAAUACUACAUACAAAAUUAUAAUAGGUAUAUAAUAUACACAACUUUAGACCUUUUGCUAUUUGGUAAUUCGAAUUAUUACAUUAUUUUCUUUCUAGAUUUUUUAGAUUUAAAUUAAAUUAAAAAUAUUUAGAAAAAAAUAUUACGGCUCUGGUGGAUAUCCAUGAGAGUAUUCAUCGAAUAUAAGGUUAAUAUCAAACCCACGCACAUCUAUGUGCGAGUUUUAAUUUAUAAUAAUAAACACGCCCACAACAGGUAAAAUUAUCCGCAAUGGAUGAAUUUUAGCAGGCAAAUUUGAAUGAAUUUACGAAUUUACAUGUACAAUUGCCAUCCCUAUAUGCGAUGAAGGGUAACUUUUGGACAUUCACUCAGCUAACGUUUAUCCAUGUCCAAAGGAUAAUAUGUCAAUGGAUAGAUUCUAUCCACGUGUAACGAAACCAAAACUUAGGAGGUAUCGAUUGGGUGUAAUCCCGCACAUGCUCUUAUUAGAGCAGCAGCCUCAGUCUUUUGAUCCCUCCUGUUACAAAAACUCAAAGCCCACAAUAAUGUAUGGCAUCAAUUUUUUGAUCUCCACUCCCCUCACUGGAGUAGCACUCUGAGUCCAAAUUAGCCCUUCAAAAUUAUAAUGCAUAAUUUUAUUCGUUUAAUUA
Molecule: long non-coding RNA, 1922 nt
Filed under: Citrus x clementina
Lineage: Eukaryota; Viridiplantae; Streptophyta; Magnoliopsida; Sapindales; Rutaceae
Description: Citrus clementina (C. clementina) long non-coding RNA (CCLE_LNC004643)
Source: RNAcentral